GACGAACGCUGGCGGCGUGCUUAACACAUGCAAGUCGAACGGAAAGGCCCUGCUUUUGUGGGGUGCUCGAGUGGCGAGCGGGUGAGUAACACGUGAGUAACCUGCCCUUGACUUUGGGAUAACUUCAGGAAACUGGGGCUAAUACCGGAUAGGAGCUCCUGCUGCAUGGUGGGGGUUGGAAAGUUUCGGCGGUUGGGGUUGGACUCGCGGCUUAUCAGCUUGUUGGUGGGGUAGUGGCUUACCAAGGCUUUGACGGGUAGCCGGCCUGAGAGGGUGACCGGCCACAUUGGGACUGAGAUACGGCCCAGACUCCUACGGGAGGCAGCAGUGGGGAAUAUUGCACAAUGGGCGGAAGCCUGAUGCAGCAACGCCGCGUGCGGGAUGACGGCCUUCGGGUUGUAAACCGCUUUCGCCUGUGACGAAGCGUGAGUGACGGUAAUGGGUAAAGAAGCACCGGCUAACUACGUG
RNAcentral lists this ribosomal RNA (468 nucleotides) under uncultured bacterium. RNAcentral's name for it is "partial 16S ribosomal RNA". It matches the Rfam family "Bacterial small subunit ribosomal RNA", at positions 28 to 507 of the family's 1533-position model. The record is from RNAcentral.